UCCGCGUUAGCUCAGUCGGUAGAGCACAUGACUGUUAAUCAUGGUGUCCCUGGUUCGAACCCAGGACGCGGAGCCA
RNAcentral lists this transfer RNA (76 nucleotides) under compost metagenome. Its description in RNAcentral is "tRNA-Asn". It matches the Rfam family "tRNA". Rfam says of the family: Transfer RNA (tRNA) molecules are approximately 80 nucleotides in length. Their secondary structure includes four short double-helical elements and three loops (D, anti-codon, and T loops). The record is from RNAcentral.